GCUACGGAUGGCUGCGCUGUUCUCUCUACAGCAGCAACUUCGCACUCAAAAACACAAACAUGUCCGUGGUGCCUGGUGGCAAGAAGCUGGUCCGGAGCCCGAGUGGGCUCCGCAUGAUACCGGAGAACGGAGCUUUCAACAGCCCGUUUGCCCUUGAUGAGCCGCAGUGGGUUCCGGAUAAAGAAUGUCCCAGGUGCAUGCAGUGUGAUACUAAGUUUGACUUCAUCACCAGGAAGCAUCACUGCCGGCGCUGUGGCCGGUGUUUCUGCGAUAAGUGUUGCAGUCAGAAAGUGGCUCUGCCCAGGAUGUGUUUUGUGGAUCCGGUGAGGCAGUGUGCAGAGUGCAGUCUCAUCUCACAGAAAGAGGUGGAGUUUUACGACAAACAGCUUAAAGUGCUCACCGCCGGAGGAACUUUCCUGGUCAAAGUGGGUUCCUCAGAGAAAACAGAGACAAUGGUGUGCCGACUGUCCAAUAACCAUAGAUAUCUCUUCCUAGAUGGGGACAGUCAUUUUGAGGUGGAGCUGUCUCGCAUUUCCAGUACACAGGUGUUGACUGAGGGAUCGACCCCAGGAGAGGAAAGUGAGGAAAUGAUGCAAGUAGAAUUCCUCUUGGAGGCACAUUGUUUCCCAUGGAUUUCCCAUCACACAUUUUAUGAUUGCUGCAGAUGUUACCAUCUAACUCUUUGCCAAGCAGUUCCCUCCGUGCCAGCGGCAUGAUGCUUCAGUAUAAGCCACCAGGAUCUCAGAACCUUCAGCAGCUUCACAUGGAGACUGCAGAAGACAAGCGCAUCGCGUCUGCCUGGCUCGCAGCCAUGCACAAAGCUGCCAAACUGUUGUACGAGUCAAGGGACCAGUGAAAUGACAAAGGAAAAAUCACAGUGCAAAAGACAGAGAGAGAUGGACAGAACUAGAAGGAAAGAAAGAGAACAAAACCAAGUAUUUUGUGUUAUUCAGUCUUACAUGUACUCUAAGAUGCUUGUAUGAUUUGUAUCCAAUCCUUUGCUGCUUCUCCCUGUCGAGACAGACCAGAUGUACUCACAAACUGUCUGUCUGUUGGGGAGGACCAAGUUUUCAGAUGACUCGUGCAAUAUGGACAUGUAUGAUAAUAUAUAAACACCAUUUAACAGAUGCUUUAAAUGUAGUCUCACGUAUCAAAGUUUUGUAAACAAAAUAUAUUUUGUCAGAUAUUCUUAUUUUAACACAAAAUGCUGUGUAUCUACUUUAUACUGCCCAAGUAUUUACAAUAUUUAGUGUUUUUCUUUUUUCUUGACAUGUUUCAAACACUUUUGAAGAACACUUGUUUUUCCUACACUACAGAAUGACAUUUCAUUUCUUGGUCAUGUGUUUUAAGUCUGCAGAGCAAGAUUUCCCUUUUUUAGAAAACCUGAAAUUAGAGCAGCCAAAUUCCCUCGACAUACUUUAAACAUUCUUCAAGGUCAACUGGUUGUGUUUGCUAAUUUUCAUUUUUCAAUGUACACCAAAUAAACAUGUUGAAUCCACAA
RNA transcript from Myxocyprinus asiaticus (Chinese sucker), 1501 nucleotides. It is a transcript of the gene named zinc finger, FYVE domain containing 21, with no coding region annotated. The transcript is spliced from 9 exons. The record is from RefSeq and is a predicted model, not a curated record. Lineage: Eukaryota; Metazoa; Chordata; Actinopteri; Cypriniformes; Catostomidae.